AUUGAACGCUGGCGGCAUGCCUUACACAUGCAAGUCGAACGCGAAAGCGGGGCAACCCGCAAGUAGAGUGGCGAACGGGUGAGUAAUACAUCGGAACGUACCCAGUAGCGGGGGAUAACCUCUCGAAAGAGAGGCUAAUACCGCAUACGACCUACGGGUGAAAGAGGGGGAUCGCAAGACCUCUCACUAUUGGAGCGGCCGAUGUCGGAUUAGCUAGUUGGUGGGGUAACGGCCACCAAGGCGACGAUCCGUAGCUGGUCUGAGAGGACGGCCAGCCACACUGGAACUGAGACACGGUCCAGACUCCUACGGGAGGCAGCAGUGGGGAAUCUUGCGCAAUGGCCGAAAGGCUGACGCAGCGACGCCGCGUGGGGAUGAAGGCC
Molecule: ribosomal RNA, 383 nt
Filed under: uncultured bacterium
Lineage: Bacteria
Description: bacterial SSU rRNA
Rfam family: Bacterial small subunit ribosomal RNA
Source: RNAcentral